Molecule: transfer RNA, 83 nt
Filed under: human gut metagenome
Rfam family: tRNA
About the family: Transfer RNA (tRNA) molecules are approximately 80 nucleotides in length. Their secondary structure includes four short double-helical elements and three loops (D, anti-codon, and T loops).
Source: RNAcentral
GAGAAAUGGCAGAGUGGUCGAUCGCGGCGGUCUUGAAAACCGUUAAACAGAAAUGUUUCGGGGGUUCGAAUCCCUCUUUCUCC